Molecule: long non-coding RNA, 367 nt
Organism: Etheostoma cragini (Arkansas darter)
Lineage: Eukaryota; Metazoa; Chordata; Actinopteri; Perciformes; Percidae
Exons: 3
Source: RefSeq, a predicted model, not a curated record
AGGUGCUGGUGCGCUCUGAUUGGUCAGGUGAUCUGUAUGGCAGCGUGUUGGUGGACAGCGGCAACGCCGUCAGCGCUGACCUCCUAUUGGACGACAGCCAGCAGCACGUUUAUGUCUUAACCAACAGCAGGCUGUCCAAGGUCCCCGUCUCGUCCUGCGAGAGACAGACAGACUGCCCGUCCUGUCUCGCUGUCAGAGACCCGUACUGUGGCUGGUGUGUCCUGGAGGGAAGAUGUUCACGCAAACAUCAGUGUCGGCGCCACUUGCAGCCCAACCAUUGGCUCUGGAGCUUUGAACGGACCAAUCAGUGUGUGACCGUGCAGAGCCUGCAGCCGGCCAAUCAGAGCAAAGACGAGCAGACACAGGU